UACGGAGGGGGCUAGCGUUGUUCGGAAUUACUGGGCGUAAAGAGCUCGUAGGUGGUUUGUCGCGUUGUCCGUGAAAUCCCUGGGCUCAACCCAGGAAGUGCAUUCGAAACUGGCGAGCUUGAAUAUGGAAGAGGGUCGCGGAAUUCCCGGUGUAGAGGUGAAAUUCGUAGAUAUCGGGAGGAACACCAGUGGCGAAGGCGGCGACCUGGGCCAAUAUUGACGCUGAGGUGCGAAAGCGUGGGGAGCAAACAGG
RNAcentral lists this ribosomal RNA (253 nucleotides) under uncultured bacterium. RNAcentral describes it as "partial 16S ribosomal RNA". It matches the Rfam family "Bacterial small subunit ribosomal RNA", at positions 524 to 776 of the family's 1533-position model. The record is from RNAcentral.